This 20-nucleotide unclassified non-coding RNA is filed under the name Dictyostelium discoideum. The record is from RNAcentral. Lineage: Eukaryota; Evosea; Eumycetozoa; Dictyosteliales; Dictyosteliaceae.
UGUACUAUCAACACUCUCAA